RNAcentral lists this ribosomal RNA (488 nucleotides) under uncultured bacterium. RNAcentral's name for it is "partial 16S ribosomal RNA". It matches the Rfam family "Bacterial small subunit ribosomal RNA", at positions 28 to 507 of the family's 1533-position model. The record is from RNAcentral.
GACGAACGCUGGCGGCGUGCUUAACACAUGCAAGUCGAACGGAAAGGCCCUGCUUUUGUGGGGUGCUCGAGUGGCGAACGGGUGAGUAACACGUGAGUAACCUGCCCUUGACUUUGGGAUAACUUCAGGAAACUGGGGCUAAUACCGGAUAGGAGCUCCUGCUGCAUGGUGGGGGUUGGAAAGUUUCGGCGGUUGGGGAUGGACUCGCGGCUUAUCAGCUUGUUGGUGGGGUAGAGGCUUACCAAGGCUUUGACGGGUAGCCGGCCUGAGAGGGUGACCGGCCACACUGGGACUGAGACACGGCCCAGACUCCUACGGGAGGCAGCAGUGGGGAAUUUUGGGCAAGGGGCGCAAGCCUGACGCAGCAACGCCGCGUGCGGGAAGAAGGCCUUCGGGUCGUAAACCGCUGUUGUCAGGGAAGAAAAAGUGUUGGCGAAUACCUGCGAGUCAUGACGGUACCUGAAGAAUAAGCACCGGCUAACUACGUG